UACGUAGGGUGCAAGCGUUGUCCGGAAUUAUUGGGCGUAAAGAGCUCGUAGGCGGCUUGUUGCGUCGGCUGUGAAAUCCCGAGGCUCAACCUCGGGUCUGCAGUCGAUACGAGCAAACUAGAGUGUUGCAGGGGAGACUGGAAUUCCUGGUGUAGCGGUGAAAUGCGCAGAUAUCAGGAGGAACACCGGUGGCGAAGGCGGGUCUCUGGGCAAUAACUGACGCUGAGGAGCGAAAGCGUGGGGAGCGAACAGG
RNAcentral lists this ribosomal RNA (253 nucleotides) under uncultured bacterium. RNAcentral describes it as "partial 16S ribosomal RNA". It matches the Rfam family "Bacterial small subunit ribosomal RNA", at positions 524 to 776 of the family's 1533-position model. The record is from RNAcentral.